GACACAGAUAAUCUCUCUAUACACUUGAGAAGCAAAAGUAACAGAUUCUUGUGUCUGUCGGCAGUCAAUUAACCAAAAUCUGGCAGACACAUUUGUUGUGAAGGAAACACAUUCAUUAACAAACGUCAAUGGUGUUGUUCCAGUGAUGUCUUCCCAUUGGGCAGGGGUGGUUCCUCCUGUUAUGCUGCAUAGUAACCUUAAAGUGGGUGUGUCACCUCCAUAACCAUUCAUGAUCCCAUCACUGGAGGCCUUGGGGACAGGAAUUGUCAUUGUAAUGGGUUUAUGGAACUUCCUCCUCCUGGGCUCCAGUGUGACUAUAGGACUGAAGGUAGCCUUGUUGCCCAAAAUCUUCUUUAUAAGUUCAGUAUGCAUAGGUUGAGCCUGGAGGCCAACACGAAUUCGUUUGGUUAAAGCCCCUUCUGGGAAGACUGCCUGCACUUGUGGUACAACAGUGCUGCUCAGCACACCUCCCUCAGGUCCAAUAAGGUUGCUGUCCUGUUUGAUUCGGGAAACCACUGCAAAGUACUGAGGGAAAUCACGAGUGAUGAUGCGGCAGAUACGUUUCUUCUCAAGCUCUUCUGGUGUGUCAAGUACUUCAUCCAUCCCAUUCAAGAUUUCAUUUAGUUCAUCCUCAGUGUAUUCGCAGAAAUGUUCCUUCCAGCUGUCCCCGUUCUCACUGCGCAGGAUCACCAGUUCUCUCUCUUUCCCACGCAGAGCAGCAAAAUGGGGAAUCUCCACAAUCACAG
Molecule: long non-coding RNA, 746 nt
Filed under: Gallus gallus (chicken)
Lineage: Eukaryota; Metazoa; Chordata; Aves; Galliformes; Phasianidae
Source: RNAcentral